UCCAACUUAACGUUGGCAGUCUCUUUAGAGUGCCCAACUGAAUGCUGGCAACUAAAGAUAAGGGUUGCGCUCGUUGCGGGACUUAACCCAACAUCUCACGACACGAGCUGACGACAGCCAUGCAGCACCUGUCUCCAUGUCUCUUUCGAGUCUUCCGGAUCUCUCCGGCGUUCAUGGGAUUCCAAACCCAGGUAAGGUUUUUCGCGUUGCAUCGAAUUAAACCACAUUCUCCACCGCUUGUGCGGGCCCCCGUCAAUUUCUUUGAGUUUUAAUCUUGCGACCGUACUCCCCAGGCGGGAUACUUAACGCGUUAGCUUCGACACUGAAGGGGUCAAUACCUUCAACAUCAAGUAUCCAUCGUUUACAGCGUGGACUAC
Molecule: unclassified non-coding RNA, 377 nt
Filed under: uncultured Pseudobdellovibrionaceae bacterium
Lineage: Bacteria; Pseudomonadati; Bdellovibrionota; Bdellovibrionia; Bdellovibrionales; Pseudobdellovibrionaceae
Description: uncultured Bdellovibrionaceae bacterium contains 16S-23S intergenic spacer region
Source: RNAcentral